UCGACAGCCCUAGAGCCUGAAGUCUUCUAUUUAACCACAGAACAGGUGAAGCUCAGGCAGCUACAAUGCAACCUUCCAGCCACACCAAUGUGCCUUAGUGUUGAUCUGGAGGGCCUCACUUCUAGGAUUUUAGACCUCCGGGCCCAUUCAGUUCUGAACUCUGAUUAA
Molecule: small RNA, 168 nt
Filed under: Chrysemys picta bellii (western painted turtle)
Lineage: Eukaryota; Metazoa; Chordata; Testudines; Emydidae
Description: TUC338 (ENSCPBG00000017951.1)
Source: RNAcentral